AGAGUUUGAUCCUGGCUCAGAUUGAACGCUGGCGGCAUGCCUAACACAUGCAAGUCGAACGGAAACGAUGGAAGCUUGCUUCCAGGCGUCGAGUGGCGGACGGGUGAGUAAUACUUAGGAAUCUGCCCAUUAGUGGGGGACAACUCGAGGAAACUCGAGCUAAUACCGCAUACGCCCUACGGGGGAAAGCGGGGGUCUUCGGACCUCGCGCUAAUGGAUGAGCCUAAGCCGGAUUAGCUUGUUGGUGAGGUAAAAGCUCACCAAGGCGACGAUCCGUAGCUGGUCUGAGAGGACGAUCAGCCACACUGGGACUGAGACACGGCCCAGACUCCUACGGGAGGCAGCAGUGGGGAAUAUUGGACAAUGGGGGCAACCCUGAUCCAGCAAUGCCGCGUGCGUGAAGAAGGCCUGCGGGUUGUAAAGCACUUUCAGUAGAGAAGAAAAGCCUACGGUUAAUACCCGUGGGUCUUGACGUAACCUACAGAAGAAGCUCCGGCUAACUCCGUGCCAGCAGCCGCGGUAAUACGGAGGGAGCGAGCGUUAAUCGGAAUUACUGGGCGUAAAGCGCGCGUAGGCGGCUUUGUAAGUCGGAUGUGAAAGCCCCGGGCUCAACCCGGGAAUUGCAUUCGAUACUGCAGAACUAGAGUAUGGUAGAGGGAAGUGGAAUUUCCGGUGUAGCGGUGAAAUGCGUAGAUAUCG
RNAcentral lists this ribosomal RNA (699 nucleotides) under uncultured bacterium. RNAcentral's name for it is "bacterial SSU rRNA". It matches the Rfam family "Bacterial small subunit ribosomal RNA", at positions 8 to 699 of the family's 1533-position model. The record is from RNAcentral.